GCCGGCGACCGGCGCACGGGUGAGUAACGCGUAUCCAACUUCCCCCUUAGUAGGGCAUAGCCCGUAGAAAUGCGGAUUAAUACCCUAUGUUAUUCGUCGAGGACAUCUGAAGUGAAUCAAAGGUUUACCGCUAAGGGAUGGGGAUGCGUCUGAUUAGGCAGCAGGCGGGGUAACGGCCCACCUGGCCGACGAUCAGUAGGGGUUCUGAGACGGAAGGUCCCCCACAUUGGAACUGAGACACGGUCCAAACUCCUACGGGAGGCAGCAGUGAGGAAUAUUGGUCAAUGGUCGAGAGACUGAACCAGCCAAGUUAAGCGUGCAGGACGACGGCCCUAUGGGUUGUAAACUGCUUUUAUGCGGGGAUAAAGUGAGGGACGUUGUCCCUUUUUGUAGGUACCGCAUGGAUAAGGACCGGCUAAUUCCGUGCCAGCCGCUGC
Molecule: ribosomal RNA, 437 nt
Filed under: uncultured bacterium
Lineage: Bacteria
Description: bacterial SSU rRNA
Rfam family: Bacterial small subunit ribosomal RNA
Source: RNAcentral